CCCCACUAUGCUUCGCCCUAAACAUUGAUAGCUUUACACAAUCGCUAUCCGCCUGGAAACUACGAGCAAUAGCUUAAAACCCAAAGGACUUGGCGGUGCUUUAGACCCACCUAGAGGAGCCUGUUCUAUAACCGAUAACCCCCGUUCAACCUCACCUUUCCUAGUCAUUCCCGCCUAUAUACCGCCGUCGCCAGCUUACCCUGUGAAGGCCCUUCUAGUAAGCUUAAUUGGCAUAGCCCAAAACGUCAGGUCGAGGUGUAGCGUAUGGAGAGGGAAGAAAUGGGCUACAUUCCCUAUUACAGUGAAUCACGGAUAAUAAUACUGAAACGUGUAUCUAGAAGGAGGAUUUAGCAGUAAGCAGAAAGCAGAGCGUUCCGCUGAAACCGGCCCUGAAGCGCGCACACACCGCC
Molecule: ribosomal RNA, 410 nt
Filed under: Epinephelus melanostigma (one-blotch grouper)
Lineage: Eukaryota; Metazoa; Chordata; Actinopteri; Perciformes; Serranidae
Description: partial 12S ribosomal RNA
Rfam family: Bacterial small subunit ribosomal RNA
Source: RNAcentral